This 480-nucleotide ribosomal RNA is filed under the name Triticum aestivum (bread wheat). RNAcentral's name for it is "partial small subunit ribosomal RNA". The record is from RNAcentral. Lineage: Eukaryota; Viridiplantae; Streptophyta; Magnoliopsida; Poales; Poaceae.
CUCCGGCCCAAAGCACCACCUGCUGGUUUCGCGAAAAUUCAUGUUGAUGCGGCAGUUCGGAAAGGAAGGGGGGGAUCUGCAGCGGUUGUUUGUAGAGACAGCUUAGGCAAUUUUCUGGGAAGUUCGGCUUUGGUUGUACAGGGGGUUGGCGAUCCCUCCAUUCUGGAGACCAUAGCGUGCAGAGAAGCUUUGGCCUUGGCACAAGACCUCCAACUACAAAAUAUGAUCGUAGCAUCAGAUGCCAAGCAAGUCGUUCAGGAGAUAAACAACAGAUCCAGAGGUGUGAACGGAGCUAUUAUUAGCGAGAUUCACUCAUAUUCCAGUUUGUUUCAAUGUAUCUUUUCUUUCGGAAGUCGUAGGGCAAACAUAGAAGCUCAUAAGUUAGCCAAGCACUUGUUGUCUUUAGGUCCGGGGCGCCACGUUUGGUUUGGCCAACCCCAUGAUGUUACUUGUAUCCCACAUUUUGUGGUAUUCGAUUAA